UGAAGUGGACUUGAUUUUCCACUUCUUAGGUAAGUUGUGGAAUUUACAUAUGGGGUAAUUUGAAUGGUUGAAACUAUUUAGAAAGAUGUUGAUUUUAUGAUUGAUUAUGUUUAGGAUUUGAUUCAUUGGAUUUAGUAGAUUGAAGAACUUGCAUAAAAGUGAGGUAAGGGAUUUUAUUUUCUACUGGACUCACCUAUGCUUUUGAAUUGUAAUGUUAGUCACCUCUGAUUGAGUAAAUGUGUUGAGACAAUAUAUAUAUACGUAUGGAUGUAGGUUCGGUGUUGAAUGUAUACUGUGGAUGACUGAAAAUAUAUAUAUACACAUGGAUUGAAGUAGACUUGAUGUUGAAUGCAUAUUGUGAUUGUCUUGGAAUAUAUAUAUAUGUGUGGAUGUAGACAGGACGACAAUUGUAGAUUGUGUUUGUAUGAGAUGCGGAUGUGAACUUGUGAUUGUCGUUUAGACUGGGUGUACGUUAUACUAAAGUAUGACUGUGUGCUGGUGAACUGAGAGGCGUUAUGACUAUAUAGUUUGAUUGACUGACGUAUUAGUAUGUUACUGACAGACAUUGGGCUAAAGUGAGAUAAGUUGACUGUUAGAACGUUGAGUGAAAGAACUUUAUAUUUUGAAGUAACUGAAAGAUGGUACGAAUGGAUUGAGGGGAAAAAUUGUUAGCUUUUAUUGGGAUGUUGCUUUGUAGGUGUCCCACGGGAUCACCAAUUAUUCUGCACCUUCGGGAGCAUUAGACUGAUAUGUGUUUCUGCAGAACACUACACUGAAAUGUACGUCCCUCGAGGCGUUAGACUGAAAUGUGCAUCCUACGGGAUCACAAGACUGCGACUGUACAGGGUGUCCCAAUAGAAUGUUAACAAUUUAUUUUUCCCUGACGGGACCAGUAGAGGGUCUCUUACUGGGUAUUUUUAUACUCACCCUUCUUAUGUUUAAUUUUCAGGCAAAGGUAAUAAAGGCGGCAAACCGGCGAGGGGCAGGAAGGAAGCGUGAUUGCCAUAGGAAAUGUGUUAUUUUGCUUCCGCUUAUUGUUUUUUUUUAGGUUUAAGACGUUGUAUUGAAACUUAGCUUACAAACUUUUAUUUGUAAAUAGUACUUUUUUUAAGUUUUUGGAAUAUUUGAAAAUCAGGCCUGACUUAAAGUUGUUUUUCAAUUGGCUUACAUUUCAUUUUGUAUCAACCAAAGUCUUUUGUCAAAAAUUAACGACCUCGACUUACCUAGAAAAGUUGGGUCGUUACAGUUGGUAUCAGAGCCUAAGUUUUAGGUUCUGUAGACUGACUUACGAUGUAAGUCUAUGUUUUAUGUCCCUAUGGCUAACGCGACCCUUCGUCUCUCGUCAGGUAUGCUUUAUGCUUAUAUGUAUGGUUUAUUUGCAUGAGUUUGCCUAAAUUAAACUAGAUUGCAUGACGAUAAAGACUUCUUAUGCUUAUGAUUAAGACUUUUUAAAGAGUGUUGUUGGUGGAUAAUAGGAAUUAUGCCGCCAAAGAGAGGUGUACGUAGAGGAGGUCGUAGAGGCGGGGUAGAGGAGCAGGUCGUAAUCAACCUACUGAGGGUCAAGCUGAAUAGCGAAUUCCUACUGCACCCGUGACUCAUGUUGAGUUUGCUGCACUGUCUGCUCACAUGGAGCAGAGGUUCACGGAGCUUAUGACGGCUAUAGCUAGAACCAGCAGGCACCUGCAGUUCCACCUGCACCUGUGGUUCCCCCUGUACCAGCAGCUCCACCUGCACCAGCAGCCCCUCCUGCGCAAGGAUUGGCUGCACAACAGCCGCAGACAUUACCGAACCAACUUUCUGCUGAGGCGAAACAUUUGAGGGACUUUAGGAAAUAUGACCCUCAGACGUUUGAUGGGUCACUGGAGGAUCCUACUAAAGCUGAGUUGUGGUUGUCCUCUGUGGAAACCAUAUUUAAUUACAUGAGAUGUCCAGAGGAGCAUAGAGUUCAGUGUGCUGCUUUUCUUCUGAGGGACAGAGGUAUUAUCUGGUGGAGAACUACGAUGCGUAUGCUAGGUGGAGAUGUGAGACAGAUUACCUGGGAUCAGUUUAAAGACUGCUUCUAUACCAAGUUUUUCUCGGCUAACCUUAGAGACGCCAAAAGCCAGGAAUUCUUGGAAUUGAAGCAAGGACAUAUGACAGUCGAGGAGUACGACCAGGAGUUUGAUAUGCUGUCGCGUUUUGCCCCUGAACUUGUUGGUAAUGAGCAGGCUAGAGCUGAUAGGUUCGUCAAAGGAUUGAGAGAUGAGAUUAGAGGCUUUGUGCGAGCACUAAAGCCCACUACCCAGGCUGAAGCGCUGCGCCUGGCAGUGGAUAUGAGCAUUGGGAAGGAUGAAAUUCGGGCAAGGAGUUUUGAUAAGGGAUCGUCGUCUGGUCAAAAGAGGAAAGCAGAGCAGAGAACUGUGGGAAUUCCUCAGAGGAACUUGAGAUUAGGCGAUCCUUUUUGCAGUUUCCAGCAGAGUUCUGGCGGGGCAGGAGACACUACUCGAGAGAAGCCACUAUGCAAUACGUGUGGGAAACACCACCUGGGUCGUUGUUUGAUGGGAACGAGAGUCUGUUAUAAGUGCAAGCAAGAGGGACACAUGGCUGAUCGAUGUCCCUUGAGAUCUACUGGGGCUGGACAGAGCAGUCAGGGAGCGAAACCUCCACAGCGGGGUACAAUCUUUGCCACUAAUAGAUCAUAAGCAGAGAAGGCCUGCACAGUGGUGACAGGUACAUUACCAGUGUUAGGGCAUUUUGCCUUGACCUUGUUUGACUCGGGGUCUUCUCAUUCAUUUAUUUCAUCGCUUUUUGUGACGCAUGCAUGCUUAGAGGUGGAACCCUUAGAUUAUGUUUUGUCAGUGUCUACACCGUCUGGAGAAAUUAUGUUGUCUAAGGAAAAGAUUAAAGCAUGUGAAAUUGAGAUAGCUGGUCGUGUGCUGGACGUAACCUUGUUGGUAUUAGAUAUGCGUGACUUUGAUGUAAUUUUAGGUAUGGAUUGGCUAGCUACUAAUCAUGCUAGUAUUGAUUGCUCUCGUAAAGAGGUUGUGUUCAGUCCCCCUACCGAAUCUAGCUUUAAAUUCAAGGGGUAGGAACAGUAGUACUGCCUAAAGUAAUCUCAGCUAUGAAAGCUAGUAAACUGCUCAACCAGGGUACCUGGAGUAUUUUGGCAAGUGUGGUGGAUACUAGGGAAGAUGAGACUUCCUUAACUUCAGAACCUGUGGUAAGAGAAUACCCAGAUGUGUUUCCAGAAGAUCUUCCAGGACUACCGCCACAUAGAGAGAUUGAUUUUGCCAUUGAGUUGGAGCCAGACACUACUCCCAUUUCUAGAGCCCCUUAUAGGAUGGCUCCUGUCGAGUUGAAAUAACUGAAGGUACAGUUACAGGAGUUGCUUGACAAAGGCUUUAUUCGACCUAGUGUGUCGCCUUGGGGUGCACCAGUAUUGUUUGUGAAGAAGAAGGAUGGGUCGAUGCGUCUUUGCAUUGACUAUAGAGAGUUGAAUAAAGUAACAAUCAAGAACAGAUAUCCUUUACCUAGAAUCGAUGAUUUGUUCGAUCAGUUACAGGGAGCCACGGUGUUCUCUAAGAUUGACUUACGGUCAGGUUAUCACCAGUUGAGGAUUAGAGACCGUGAUAUUCCUAAGACUGCUUUUCGUUCGAGGUACGGACAUUAUGAAUUCAUGGUAAUGUCUUUUGGUUUGACUAAUGCACCUGCAGUAUUUAUGGAUUUGAUGAACAGGGUGUUUAAGGAUUUCUUAGACACUUUUGUGAUAGUCUUCAUUGAUGAUAUUUUGGUUUAUUCCAAGACUGAGGCCGAACAUGAGGAACACUUACAUAAAGUGUUAGAGACUCUUCGAGUCAAUAAACUUUAUGCUAAAUUCUCUAAGUGCGAAUUUUGGUUGAAGCAGGUGGCUUUUCUUGGUCAUGUGGUUUCCAGUGAGGGAGUUUCUGUAGACCCUGCAAAGAUAGAAGCGGUUACCAGUUGGUCUCGACCCUCUACAGUUAGUGAGGUUCGUAGUUUUCUGGGUUUAGCAGGGUACUACCGGAGGUUUGUGGAGGAUUUUUCACGUUUGGCUACUCCCUUGACUCAGUUGACAAGGAAGGGAACUCCGUUUGUUUGGAGUCCAGCUUGCGAGGAUAGUUUUCAGAACCUUAAGCAAAGGUUAGUUACUGCACCGGUCCUUACAGUACCAGAUGGAUCCGGAAGUUUUGUGAUUUACAGUGAUGCUUCCAAGAAAGGACUGGGUUGUGUUUUGAUGCAGAAAGGUAAGGUGGUUGCUUAUGCCUCUCGUCAGUUGAAGAGUCACGAGCAGAACUACCCCACACAUGAUUUGGAGUUGGCAGCAGUGGUUUUUGCAUUGAAGAUAUGGAGACAUUAUUUGUACGGUGAAAAGAUACAAAUCUUUACUGACCAUAAGAGCCUGAAGUACUUCUUCACUCAGAAGGAGUUGAAUAUGAGACAGCGAAGGUGGCUCGAGUUGGUAAAGGAUUAUGACUGUGAGAUAUUGUACCAUCCUGGUAAGGCGAAUGUGGUGGCUGAUGCUCUUAGUAGAAAAGUAUCACAUUCGGCAGCACUCAUUACUAGACAGGUACCAUUACAUCGAGACUUGGAGAGAGCUGAGAUUGUAGUAUCUGUGGGGAGAGUCACCUCACAGUUAGCUCAAUUAACGGUGCAACUGACUCUGAGGCAGAAGAUUGUGUGAUGCUCAGAGUAAUGAUCCUUAUUUGAUGGAGAGACGUCGCCUUGUUGGAACAGAGCAGACUGAUGAGUUCUCCAUAUCCUCUGAUGGUGGAUUGAUGUUUGAGAGACGUUUGUGUGUGCCAGCGAACAGUGCAGCUAAGAUUGACUUACUAGAUGAAGCCCAUAAUUCUUCAUUUUCCAUGCAUCCUGGUAGUACGAAAAUGUAUCAGGAUCUAAAACGAUUUUAUUGGUGGCGGAAUAUGAAAAGGGAAGUGGCGGAAUUCGUUAGUAAGUGUCUAGUAUGUCAGCAGGUUAAGGCACCUAGACAGAAACCAGCAGGUUUGUUACAACCUUUAAGUGUGCCAGAGUGGAAGUGGGAGAAUGUGUCGAUGGAUUUUAUUUCAGGGCUGCCUAAGACCCUGAAGGGUUUCACAGUGAUUUUGGUUGUUGUAGACAGGCUUACGAAAUCGGCACAUUUUGUACCAGGGAAAUCCACUUAUACUGCUAGUAAGUGGGCACAGUUGUAUUUAACUGAGGUUGUGAGACUGCAUGGAGUGCCUGUAUCGAUUGUUUCUGACAGGGAUGCACGUUUACUUCCAAGUUUUGGAAGGGACUUCAGACUGCUAUGGGUACGAGAUUAGAUUUCAGUACAGCCUUUCAUCCACAAACUGAUGGUCAAACUGAACGUUUGAACCAAGUUUUAGAGGAUAUGCUACGAGCUUGUGUUCUAGAGUUUCCAGGUAGUUGGGACUCUCAUCUACAUUUGAUGGAGUUUGCUUAUAACAACAGUUUCCAGGCUACCAUCGGUAUGGCACCAUUUGAGGCUUUGUAUGGUAAAUGUUGUAGAACCCUAUUUGUUGGAGUGAGGUUGGUGAACAGAGGUUGAUGGGACCUAAAUUAGUUCGGUCUACUAAUGAGGCUAUUCAAAAGAUUAGAGCACGUAUGCAAACAGCGCAGAGUAGACAAAAGAGUUAUGCAGAUGUACGGCGAAAAGACCUUAAGUUUGAUGUGGGAGAAAAGGUAUUCUUGAAGGUAGCACCUAUGAAGGGUGUUAUGCGUUUUGAGAAGAAAGGGAAGUUAAGUCCUCGUUUUGUUGGACCAUUUGAGAUCUUAGAGAGGGUUGGUGUUGUGGCGUAUCGCUUGGCAUUACCACCAUCACUCUCUGCAGUCCAUAAUGUUUUCCAUGUUUCGAUGUUGAGGAAGUAUGUGGCCGAUACAUCUCAUGUCGUGGACUAUGAACCCUUGGAGAUUGAUGAGCAUUUGAGCUAUGUAGAACAACCUGUGGAGAUUCUGGCUAGAGAGGUAAAGAUGCUUCGUAAUAGAAGCAUUCCAUUAGUAAAGGUUUUGUGGCGGAAUCAUCGAAUUGAAGAGGCGACAUGGGAGCGAGAAGAAGAGAUGAGGACUCGUUAUCAAGAGUUAUUUCAGGAUUAGAACUUUCGCCUUAAGGAGGAAGAAUGUAACGCCCCAAACUCGAAGGUAUUUUAUUUUAAGAGAGAUUUGUACAAGAUUUAUUGUUUUGAAGAAAAUAUGUUGAAGGGGGGAAAGAAGAUUUGAAAAUGUGAUAAUAUAAUUAUAUAUAUAUUUAUUUAUAUUUUUAGUUUAAAUAAAAGAAAAGAAAAAGAAAUUUUAUUAUAUAUAUUUAUUUAUAUUUUAGUUUUAUUUUUAUUAUUUAAAUAAAAGAAAAGAAAAAAGAAAUUUUCCUUCCUUCUUCCUCCCGUGCGUCCUCCAUCCCUUUCUCCUUCCCGUACCCUAGCAGCCGCACAUCCCUCUCUUCUCCGUUCACCCAGUCGGCCACACAAGCUGCCGGUCGUUUCUUCUUCUUCUUUCCGGUCGUCUUCCUUUUCUCCUUCGGAUCGAAACCGCCGCGCCCAUCCGCUCACAACCACCGUGCCUCUCCGCUCACAACCGUCGUGCCUCCCUCGGAAAGCAAAUCGUCAUCCAGAUCUGCAUCGCCGAGCCGUCCAGGUCCUCGCCGUCGCUUGUGCUUCACCCUUGCAGUUCGCCAUAACCCAGAUCGUCGCUGCAACCGUCGGCCGGUUCGUGAAGUGCCGUACGCGUCACCUUGCAGCAGUCGUCCAGAUCUGCAUCGCCGUGCCCAUUCCUUUCCUCUCCGUUCGUGAAGCCCUGCUGCGCAAUCUCUGUCUCCGUCGAAGCCAAGCCAGCCGCCGCCCGUUCCUUUCUCCUCCGUUUUCUGCACUGCCGCGUGACUCUCCGACCGCGUCUGUCUUCACCUCCGUGAAGCCGUCGACGCAUACAUCUCGUGAAGUCAUACACGGAUCCAAGUCGAUCUCUUCCUAAAUUACGUGUCCCCUAUCAAGUCGACGUUCUUCUGCUCGUUGUAAGACGGAGUUACGAUUUGAAGCCGAUUUUCUUUUCCAGUUGAGUCGCAUUCAGUGUUGCUCUAUUUACAGCCGCUUGAUUCGUUCUUGAUUGUCAUUUUUGCCUCGCCGUGAACCAUUGGGCUCAUAUUUGGGUAAGAACAAGUUAUGGUUUUUGUUGGUUUCUUGGUUUUUGUUGAAUGCUGCCAUUGGAUUUAAUUGUUGGCGAAAUGCUUAAUUCUUGAAGGUACAUCUUGAUUCAGUGAGCGAAUCCUUGAUUUUCCAAAAGGUUGAAGUGGACUUGAUUUUCCACUUCUUGGGUAAGUUGUGGAAUUUACAUAUGGGGUAAUUUGAAUGGUUGAAACUAUUUAGAAAGAUGUUGAUUUUAUGAUUGAUUAUGUUUAGGAUUUGAUUCAUUGGAUUUAGUAGAUUGAAGAACUUGCAUAAAAGUGAGGUAAGGGAUUUUAUUUUCUACUGGACUCACCUAUGCUUUUGAAUUGUAAUGUUAGUCACCUCUGAUUGAGUAAAUGUGUUGAGACAAUAUAUAUAUACGUAUGGAUGUAGGUUCGGUGUUGAAUGUAUACUGUGGAUGACUGAAAAUAUAUAUAUACACAUGGAUUGAAGUAGACUUGAUGUUGAAUGCAUAUUGUGAUUGUCUUGGAAUAUAUAUAUAUGUGUGUGAUGUAGACAGGACGACAAUUGUAGAUUGUGUUUGUAUGAGAUGCGGAUGUGAACUUGUGAUUGUCGUUUAGACUGGGUGUACGUUAUACUAAAGUAUGACUGUGUGCUGGUGAACUGAGAGGCGUUAUGACUAUAUAGUUUGAUUGACUGACGUAUUAGUAUGUUACUGACAGACAUUGGGCUAAAGUGAGAUAAGUUGACUGUUAGAACGUUGAGUGAAAGAACUUUAUAUUUUGAAG
Molecule: long non-coding RNA, 7894 nt
Filed under: Cucumis sativus (cucumber)
Lineage: Eukaryota; Viridiplantae; Streptophyta; Magnoliopsida; Cucurbitales; Cucurbitaceae
Description: long non-coding RNA (CSAT_LNC002716)
Source: RNAcentral